This 446-nucleotide ribosomal RNA is filed under the name uncultured prokaryote. RNAcentral's name for it is "bacterial SSU rRNA". It matches the Rfam family "Bacterial small subunit ribosomal RNA", at positions 355 to 796 of the family's 1533-position model. The record is from RNAcentral.
UCGAGAAUCUUCGGCAAUGGACGCAAGUCUGACCGAGCGAUGCCGCGUGCGGGAUGAAGGCCCUCGGGUUGUAAACCGCUGUCAGUUGGGAGGAAAUCUUAUAGGGUUCUCUCUAUGAGUUGACCGAUCUUCAGAGGAAGUACGGGCUAAGUUCGUGCCAGCAGCCGCGGUAACACGAACCGUACGAACGUUAUUCGGUAUCACUGGGCUUAAAGCGUGCGUAGGCGGCCUGGAAGGUGAGAGGUGAAAUCCCACGGCUCAACCGUGGAACUGCCUUUCAAACCACCAGGCUUGAGGAAGACAGGGGUGAUCGGAACUUAUGGUGGAGCGGUGAAAUGCGUUGAUAUCAUAGGGAACACCGGUGGCGAAAGCGGAUCACUGGGUCUUUUCUGACGCUGAGGCACGAAAGCUAGGGUAGCGAACGGGAUUAGAUACCCCCGUAGUCC